This 254-nucleotide ribosomal RNA is filed under the name uncultured bacterium. RNAcentral describes it as "partial 16S ribosomal RNA". It matches the Rfam family "Bacterial small subunit ribosomal RNA", at positions 524 to 776 of the family's 1533-position model. The record is from RNAcentral.
UACGAAGGGGGCUAGCGUUGUUCGGAAUUACUGGGCGUAAAGCGCGCGCAGGCGGCCAUUCAAGUCAGGGGUGAAAGCCCAGAGCUCAACUCUGGAACUGCCCUUGAAACUGUAUGGCUUGAGUAUGAGAGAGGUGAGUGGAAUUCCCAGUGUAGAGGUGAAAUUCGUAGAUAUUGGGAAGAACACCGGUGGCGAAGGCGGCUCACUGGGCUCAUUACUGACGCUCAGGCGCGACAGCGUGGGGAUCAAACAGG